RNAcentral lists this ribosomal RNA (480 nucleotides) under uncultured bacterium. RNAcentral's name for it is "bacterial SSU rRNA". It matches the Rfam family "Bacterial small subunit ribosomal RNA", at positions 30 to 507 of the family's 1533-position model. The record is from RNAcentral.
AUUGAACGCUGGCGGAAUGCUUUACACAUGCAAGUCGAACGGUAGAGGGGGCAACCCCUUGAGAGUGGCGAACGGGUGAGUAAUAUAUCGGAACGUGCCCAGUCGUGGGGGAUAACGUAGCGAAAGUUACGCUAAUACCGCAUACGAUCUAAGGAUGAAAGCGGGGGACCGUAAGGCCUCGCGCGAUUGGAGCGGCCGAUAUCAGAUUAGGUAGUUGGUGGGGUAAAGGCUCACCAAGCCAACGAUCUGUAGCUGGUCUGAGAGGACGACCAGCCACACUGGAACUGAGACACGGUCCAGACUCCUACGGGAGGCAGCAGUGGGGAAUUUUGGACAAUGGACGCAAGUCUGAUCCAGCCAUUCCGCGUGCAGGAUGAAGGCCCUCGGGUUGUAAACUGCUUUUGUACGGAACGAAAAGGUCUCUAUUAAUACCAGGGGCUCAUGACGGUACCGUAAGAAUAAGCACCGGCUAACUACGUG